CUCCUCUUUUCCUCCUCUUUUGUUGUUGUUGUUUUGAGACAAGAUCUCUAUGUAGCCCAGGCUGGCCCGGAACUUACUAUACAGUUCAGACUCGCCCUCUAACUCACUGAGCUCUGCCUGCCUCUGGCUUCCAAGUGCUGGGAUUAUGGGCGUGCGCCACCAUGCCCAGUCCCAGGAUCAUCUUAUUUCAUUGUUCUUACUACUUGCUAUGUUCUUUCCCUCUUCCCCACGUUAUCCCUCAGCUUUCCCUGCUAAGCUGUGUUCAAAGCCAUGCCCUGCUGUGAAUCUUUUCAUAGUUUUUUCAUGGGCUCUGGUCUGAUCAUCGUCAUAAAGAUGCAGGAGGGGCAUUGCUUUGUCAUAUAUGGAUUUUUUUAGAUGGUCUCAUGUAACCCAGGAUGACUUUGAACUCUUUAUGUAGCCAAAAGCGAUCUCAAACUUCUCACCCUCCUGUCUUCAUUUCCAGAGAACUGAGAUUACGGGCAGGUAGCACGAUACCUAGGACCAAACCCGAGGCCUCACAUAUUGCCAGGCCUUGCCUCUACUCUGGCUCUGGGACCUCAGGACCGAGGAGACUCUGCCUGCCCUCUGCUCUGUCUUCUACACUGAUUGCCCAGGGAGAGGUCCCCUCAGUACCUCCCCUUCCUCCAGACUGCAUGGCAGACUCCGAAGGGAGGCUGGCCCUGGGACCCCGGCGUCCAGAGCUCAUCCCUGAUGCUCCGAAGCCCUCUCUCCUCCCGGAUGCUCCGAAGCCCUCUCUCCUCCCGGGUCCACAGUGGUCCUGGCCACCUCCUGCUUCCCAGGGCUCUGCUCUUGGCUCACAGCCCCUGCUUUGGGUCAGGACCACAACCUGGGGACUCCAGCCCCAAUGCGAUGCAGCUUUUUGAUCACUGGUUCGGUACUCUGUGCGCUCCCCCAGCCCAGCUCCUGCUCCAGCCACAAGUGCCCUUCACCCCCCAUCCCCCCACCCCGUGACUCGGGUCCCCCAUCCAGCCUCACUUCCCCUCCUCACGGCUCUGCCGCCUCUACCGGACCACUGUGAUACCCGGAAGUGCCCAGGCUAAGGUUUAGGUUUUCAUGAACUUGUUUUCGUCUAAGAGCAGUCUUUAGGUUCGAGAGAGAAGACCAUGAGUUUCCACCACACACACAGCCCGCUCACACCCCACCGCUCUACACCAGGAUGGAGUAUUCCUUACAGCCGUGAGCCUGUGCUGACCCGCCCUUCCCACCUGAGUCCACCCCAGGUCCCUCUCACUGCUGCUCCUCCACCCGGUGUCAGUUUGAACCAGUGUAUACCACGCACACCAUUAUAGUAGCACACGCAGGAGGCUGCUCUGUUGUUUUUGUUUGUUUGUUCGUUUCUGAGACAGGGUCUCUCUACAUAGCCCUGGCUGUCCUGGAAAUCACUGUGUAGACCAGGCUGGCCUUGAACUCACAGGGAUCCACCCGCCUCUGCCUCUGCUGGGACUAAAGAUGUGCACCACCACAUCCAGCACGUGCCGUCGUCCCGCUUACCUGGCUUCCCACCCCGUUUCCCUGUCCCCGUAGGCUUGACUUUCCCAGAAUGCCAUGUGUCGUGGGGGGCUCAUCAUCAGUGUGUGGCUUUCAGACUGGCUUCUCAGCAGUAGACAGAGGCACGGUCCUUCCACAUCUUCUCAGGGGGACAGCUCCCCGCCACCCCAGUGCUUCCCUCCGCAUCCAUCGCUGGCUGGUGGGCGUUCUUGGUUACCUCCAGACUUGAGCAGCUAUAAAGCUGCUGGAAUGUGCUAUGCUGGCUUAGUGUGGACACGUUUCCAGUUCCCUUGGGCACACAGCUGUGAGAGCUACAGUAAGAGCACACAUAGUGAAUUGUCAUGAAACCAUCAGAUCUUCUUACCAAAUGGCUAUAACCAUCCUGCAUUCCUACCAACAGUGAGAGGAGGGUUUCUUUUUUUAAUUCUUUGACAAUUUCUUGCAUGUAUUUGGUGCAUUUUGGUCACUUUGACUCCGUUUCCUCUGAUCUCCUCUUCCUGACGAGUUCCCAUCCACCCUGAUGAACUUCGGUAUUGUUUUAAUUAGGGUUGCCCACAUAAACAUGGGUAGGGGGUUGUUUAUUGGCAUGUGGACAACUCACCAUUAGCUACCCAGAUGAAGAAACGACACCUCCUCCCCACCAACCAUAAACCGCUGAUACAGCUCUUCAGGGACGGGUGGGGCCUUGUCAGCCCCUCCCUCACCCAUGAUGGGAUAGUGACAGGUCCCAGUUUAUGUAGGUCUUGGCCGCAGCCGCUGUGAUGAGUGCAAUGUCCACAUCGUGUCCACGAGACCGCGUUUCACAGCCCUCCUGUCCACCCUCCAGCUCUCACGUCCCGUCCUCCCAGUCUUCGGCAGGGUUCCCUGAGCCUUGAGACGGCUGAUACAGAGCUCCUCUGGGGCUCAGCACUCUAAUCAGUCAUGAGUCUCUUUAUUAACUCUCGCCCAAGAAUGAGAGGGCUUGUUGCUCUCAGUCUCCGCCAGCGCUUGGUGACGUCCACAUUUGGGUUUUGGCCCUUCUGUCUGGUCUGUGUGACUGGUAUUACCGUCUUACUGUUUUAAUUUGUGAUUCCCCAGUGACGUAUGAUGAAGAACUCUGUCGCUGUUUGCCAUCUGUAUGUAUUCAUUGAGAAGUUCCCUGGGGGCUUUUGCCCAUUUUUUUUCUUUUUGGGUUUUUUCGAGACAGGGUUUCUCUGUAGCUUUGGAGUCUAUCCUGGAACUAGCUCUUGUAGACCAGGCUGGCCUCAAACUCACAGAUAUCUGCCUGCCUCUGCCUCCCGAGUGCCAAGAUUAAAUUAAGGCGUGUGCCAUCACCGCCUGGCUCUUUUGGCCAUUUUUAAGUUAGGUUGUUUGUUUUCUUAUGUUGUGUUUAAGAGUUCUCUGUAUGUGUUGGUGGUCAUCUCUUAUUAACUGUGUCUUUUAUGUAUAUUUUCUCCACUCUGUGGCCUGUUUUAUUGACAUUUUUUUGUUUGUUUUUAUUUUGUUUUUCAAAAUAGGGUUUCUCUGUAUAGCAGCUCUGGCUGUCCUGAAACUCGCUUUGUAGACCAGCCUGGCCUGGAACUCACAGAAAUCUACCAUGCUCUGGAAUUAAAGAUCUAUGCCACCACUGUC
Long non-coding RNA from Mesocricetus auratus (golden hamster), 3120 nucleotides. RefSeq lists it as uncharacterized. NCBI's taxonomy places the organism in Eukaryota, Metazoa, Chordata, Mammalia, Rodentia, Cricetidae. The transcript is spliced from 2 exons. The record is from RefSeq and is a predicted model, not a curated record.